CCGAGUUUACAACUCCCAAACCCCUGUGAACAUACCUAUACGUUGCCUCGGCGGAUCAGCCCGCGCCCCAUAAAAAGGGACGGCCCGCCCGAGGACCCCUAAACUCUGUUUUUAGUGGAACUUCUGAGUAAAACAAACAAAUAAAUCA
Molecule: unclassified non-coding RNA, 148 nt
Filed under: soil metagenome
Description: partial internal transcribed spacer 1
Source: RNAcentral